UACGUAGGGUGCAAGCGUUGUCCGGAAUUAUUGGGCGUACAGAGCUCGUAGGCGGUGUGUCGCGUCGGCCGUGAAAACCUGCAGCUUAACUGUGGGCUUGCGGUCGAUACGGGCAUCACUGGAGUUCGGCAGGGGAGACUGGAAUUCCUGGUGUAGCGGUGAAAUGCGCAGAUAUCAGGAGGAACACCGGUGGCGAAGGCGGGUCUCUGGGCCGAUACUGACGCUGAGGAGCGAAAGCGUGGGGAGCGAACAGG
This 254-nucleotide ribosomal RNA is filed under the name uncultured bacterium. RNAcentral describes it as "partial 16S ribosomal RNA". It matches the Rfam family "Bacterial small subunit ribosomal RNA", at positions 524 to 776 of the family's 1533-position model. The record is from RNAcentral.